This 506-nucleotide ribosomal RNA is filed under the name uncultured bacterium. RNAcentral describes it as "partial 16S ribosomal RNA". It matches the Rfam family "Bacterial small subunit ribosomal RNA", at positions 28 to 523 of the family's 1533-position model. The record is from RNAcentral.
GAUGAACGCUAGCUACAGGCUUAACACAUGCAAGUCGAGGGGUAACGAGAGGAAAGCUUGCUUUCCUUGUCGACGACCGGCGCACGGGUGAGUAACGCGUAUCCAACCUGCCCCCAACUAGGGAAUAACCUUGCGAAAGUAAGACUAAUACCCUAUAAUUUCCUCAGAUGCCAUCUGUCGAGGAAUAAAGAUUUAUCGGUUGUGGAUGGGGAUGCGUCUGAUUAGCUUGUUGGCAGGGUAACGGCCCACCAAGGCAACGAUCAGUAGGGGUUCUGAGAGGAAGGUCCCCCACAUUGGAACUGAGACACGGUCCAAACUCCUACGGGAGGCAGCAGUGAGGAAUAUUGGUCAAUGGGCGGAAGCCUGAACCAGCCAAGUAGCGUGCAGGAUGACGGCCCUAUGGGUUGUAAACUGCUUUUAUACAGGAAUAAAGUUAGCCACGUGUGGUUAUUUGUAGGUACUGUAUGAAUAAGGACCGGCUAAUUCCGUGCCAGCCGCCGCAGUAA